AGUGAACGCUGGCGGCAUGCCUAACACAUGCAAGUCGAACGGCAGCGCGGGCUUCGGCCUGGCGGCGAGUGGCGGACGGGUGAGGAAUGCAUCGGAAUCUGCCCAGUCGUGGGGGAUAACGUAGGAAACUUACGCUAAUACCGCAUACGACCGAGAGGUGAAAGCGGGGGACCUUCGGGCCUCGCGCGAUUGGAUGAGCCGAUGCCGGAUUAGCUAGUUGGCGGGGUAAAGGCCCACCAAGGCGACGAUCCGUAGCUGGUCUGAGAGGAUGAUCAGCCACACUGGGACUGAGACACGGCCCAGACUCCUACGGGAGGCAGCAGUGGGGAAUAUUGGACAAUGGGCGCAAGCCUGAUCCAGCAAUGCCGCGUGGGUGAAGAAGGCCUCGGGUUGUAAAGCCUUUGUACGGAAGAAAGACGCUGGGUUAAUACCCUGGCGGGAUGACGGUACCGUAAGAAUAAGCACCGGCUAACUUCGUGCCAGCAGCCGCGGUAAUACGAAGGGUGCAAGCGUUACUCGGAAUUACUGGGCGUAAAGCGUGCGUAGGCGGUUUGUUAAGUCCGUUGUGAAAGCCCUGGGCUCAACCUGGGAACUGCAGUGGAUACUGGCAGGCUAGAGUGCGGUAGAGGAUGGUGGAAUUCCCGGUGUAGCGGUGAAAAUGCGUAGAGAUCGGGAGGAACAUCGAUGGCGAAGGCAGCCAUCUGGACCAGCACUGACGCUGAGGCACGAAAAGCGUGGGGGAGCAAACAGGAUUAGAUACCCUGGUAG
This 768-nucleotide ribosomal RNA is filed under the name uncultured bacterium. RNAcentral describes it as "bacterial SSU rRNA". It matches the Rfam family "Bacterial small subunit ribosomal RNA", at positions 28 to 793 of the family's 1533-position model. The record is from RNAcentral.